This 1060-nucleotide ribosomal RNA is filed under the name Haematomicrobium sanguinis. Its description in RNAcentral is "bacterial SSU rRNA". It matches the Rfam family "Bacterial small subunit ribosomal RNA", at positions 55 to 1120 of the family's 1533-position model. The record is from RNAcentral. Lineage: Bacteria; Bacillati; Actinomycetota; Actinomycetes; Micrococcales; Micrococcaceae.
AUGCAAGUCGAACGAUGAAGCUGGAACUUGUUCUGGUGGAUUAGUGGCGAACGGGUGAGUAACACGUGAGCAACCUGCCCAAGACUUUCGGGAUAAGCCUGGGAAACUGGGUCUAAUACUGGAUAUGACCUUUCAUCGCAUGGUGUUUGGUGGAAAGAUUUUUUGGUUUUGGAUGGGCUCGCGGCCUAUCAGCUUGUUGGUGAGGUAAUGGCUUACCAAGGCUUCGACGGGUAACCGGCCUGAGAGGGUGACCGGUCACACUGGGACUGAGACACGGCCCAGACUCCUACGGGAGGCAGCAGUGGGGAAUAUUGCACAAUGGGCGAAAGCCUGAUGCAGCGACGCCGCGUGAGGGAUGACGGCCUUCGGGUUGUAAACCUCUUUCAGUCAGGAACAAGCCACUUGUGGUGAGGGUACUGGCAGAAGAAGCACCGGCUAACUACGUGCCAGCAGCCGCGGUAAUACGUAGGGUGCGAGCGUUAUCCGGAAUUAUUGGGCGUAAAGAGCUUGUAGGCGGUUUGUCGCGUCUGCUGUGAAAGCCCGGGGCUUAACUCCGGGUCUGCAGUGGGUACGGGCAGGCUAGAGUGAUGUAGGGGUAACUGGAAUUCCUGGUGUAGCGGUGGAAUGCGCAGAUAUCAGGAAGAACACCGAUGGCGAAGGCAGGUUACUGGGCAUUUACUGACGCUGAGAAGCGAAAGCAUGGGGAGCGAACAGGAUUAGAUACCCUGGUAGUCCAUGCCGUAAACGUUGGGCACUAGGUGUGGGGAGCAUUCCACGUUUUCCGCGCCGUAGCUAACGCAUUAAGUGCCCCGCCUGGGGAGUACGGCCGCAAGGCUAAAACUCAAAGGAAUUGACGGGGGCCCGCACAAGCGGCGGAGCAUGCUGAUUAAUUCGAUGCAACGCGAAAAACCUUACCAAGGCUUGACAUGAACCGGACCGCCGCAAAGAUGCGGUUUCCCUUCGGGGCUGGUUUACAGGUGGGGCAUGGUUGUCCUCAUCUCCUGUCCUGAGAUGUUGGGUUAAGUCCCGCAACCAGCGCAACCCUCGUUCUAUGUUGCCA